This is a non-coding RNA of Paramuricea clavata, 84 nucleotides long. The record is from the annotation of a GenBank genome assembly. Lineage: Eukaryota; Metazoa; Cnidaria; Anthozoa; Malacalcyonacea; Plexauridae.
UAUUACGCGCGGAGAAAUGUUACCCCGUGCGCGAAAAUGUAAUACAAUUUUUUCGAACGGGGUAACUUUUCCCCGCGCGUAAUA